RNAcentral lists this long non-coding RNA (2491 nucleotides) under Physcomitrium patens. RNAcentral's name for it is "long non-coding RNA (PPAT_LNC009380)". The record is from RNAcentral. Lineage: Eukaryota; Viridiplantae; Streptophyta; Bryopsida; Funariales; Funariaceae.
UACCAGCCUGUUGGUUUCGUGCGAGGGCUGUGAAGUCGAACAAUCGCCCCCGUUCGAAUCAGAGGAGGCACAGGACAUUUAAUGCUUCAAAAAAUUUGGGCCCAUGUGAACGAUCAAGAAACGGUUCGUCGUACGCUCAACGGUUCCGGACUCUUGUAAUGUCAGUUUAUUUUUUAUAUUAUUUUUAUCGCGUUUCACACACCGGUGUUUGAAAUACCCACUACCCCACUGGGAAGUGUAGUAACUGAUUGUGGAGGAAUACAUACAUCCAAGUGAUGCUGCAACGGAUGGCCGUGGUUGCGGUGUCAGUGUGGUUGUCAUUCUCGAGGUGUGUUCAUGUGCUUGGAUGUAUCCUUUUCGGCUUCGGAAUCCGAAUCAUGAAGAUGCAAAAUAUCCGUUUUCAACCAUAAUAGUGGAGAUGGAUAUUGUUUUCCGUUUUCCCACUUUAAUGCACAUGUUACUGAAUGCCCUUCUGAGUAUUAUUUGUUAGGUUAUUUUGUUCUAGUUCUAAACGUACAGCGGCCUGUGGGUCAUAUCAACUGAAUUAGUAUGACUCGUCUAGAUUUUGUGCAGUCAAGUUCCGAAGCUCGUAAUUAUCGGUGGAGAUGUCACCUGGAAGUUGUGCAGGGCUCACUGAAAAAUCUUUGUGUUGGUGGAUUUCUCCACUUGUUCUUUUUUUGAGAUCUGAUGAGAGUUGUCUUAAUGAUUAUUCAAUAUGUCUCAACUGCAGCCUAUGGGGUUGCUGAAGUUAACAUUUCUCAAGAAAAUUUUAUGCAACAUAGGAAGUGAAUAUUUAUCGUAAUUCCUGAUUUGUAUGUCUUACUAGGAUUGCAGAUUCGCUAACGGUUGAUCUUAUAAGAAUGAAAACAUAUAAUCAAUUUUCCAAUUUUUGAGAGCAAGCCCAUUCACAUGUUACGAAAUCCUGCCAGAGAAGGUUCUUCACAAUCGGGGUAAAAAUUUAUAUCGAUAGUGUGCAGCAAGCUUCUCGUGUUUCCAAGCGAGUCACAGGGUUUUACUCAGACAUCAUAAUUUCAGAAGAGACUGCAUCAGAAACCUGUGAUAAAUUCCUGCUCUAAAUUUUCACUUGUUACAUCUCAGAAGUGACGGGUGAUACUGAUAAUGGCUGAGAAGUUCAUUCCCACAUCAGCGAAAAGCUCUACGUACUCCAUACCUCCAGCUUCGUCCUUAAUUUUCUUAAUCAUGUCGAUGAAAUGAUACAUAUUCGAAAAAACUUUCACAUUCUAUCGUUUUACGAACAUGAAUGUGGACCGGAGGAGGGGGGUCGAUGGAGCUCCGUGAGUAACGGUGAGGAAGGUAGGCGCUGAAGGGCGAUGGCGACUGUACGUGCUCACACUAGCUGUGAAACCAGUCACUGAACAUUCUUAGUGUAGUUUUGAUACAGCUUUCUCGCCGAUCUAACCUGCUCUGUGGUAGAUGAUGAAGUUAGGCCCCUUCAUUUUAGUACACACCAAAUGGGCGUGAACAACAUCCAGAGACAUGGGUUAGGGUUAGAACAAUGCCUGUACAAUGACAUAUGCCAACGCGGUUCGUCUAGGAGCAGGAGCGACACAAAUCGUUGAGGGGGGGAGCGGCACAACGGUCACAGCGACAAGCAUAUGGCAGACGCGCACAACCUGGAUUUUGGUAACUUCACUCUACUCGCAAGGGACCCAGCUGGCGAUUAACUCAACCAAGCCCAGGGAGGGAGGGAUACUCCAAAAAAUAUGCAGGAUUCCUAAUCAAGACAAACCACAAACGGAUUCACAUGUCAGAAGAGGUUGUUGCAGCUGAAGAACGUUAAAUGCGGGAGCAGGUUGUGGUGCCCUGCCUCCUCAGCAUCAAAUCCAACCAAUCUGCAUUUGCAACAUGGCUUGACAAGCUUAACUCUAAACUGUUGAGUAGAAGAAUCACGUCCAUCAACAAAGUGGGCCAAGGGAUUUUUUGUCUGCUUACUCUAGAUCUAGAAGUUGCCUAAUAAAUCCUUGUACUUACACCUCACAGACAAUGGCUUCUGUGUAUUUUUCAACAAUGGACUCUAUAAUUCAACCUGAAGAACAAGAAAGGUAUAAUCAUCCCCACCUGGAUAUCAUUCAAGAACUUACUCUGGCAAUUCAACGAUGUUGCCCUAGAAAUUUUACAAGCCCUUGGAAAAGUACUUGGGGCAAACAUGAAAAAUACCAUGUUCACUAAACCCUGCUUUUAUAUUGUACUUGAUACCAACAAAGGUUGUUAAAUAGAAGAUGGACAAUCCAAAAAACUUACAAUAGUGACUAUGGACUAUGCAAAUCUUCCAAUAUGUUUCCGACUCUACUUAGAAGUGGAUCACCACAUUAACAUUUCUCGCUUUUUUUUCCCUUGGGAUUGCCAAAACUAUAUUGCAUUAUUUUUAGACAUGUCUAAGAAUGAAGAAGAUCUAGGAAUGGAGCUUGUAGCUCAUCUAUAAACUCCAACAAAAAAAAACCAAUCCACUCAUACAAUCCAAUUUUCUCUA